GGCCCCGUAGUUCAAUGGAUAGAACGGAAGUUUCCUAAACUUUAAAUACAGGUUCGAUCCCUGUCGGGGCUA
This 72-nucleotide transfer RNA is filed under the name Bacteroidetes bacterium GWE2_29_8. Its description in RNAcentral is "tRNA-Arg". It matches the Rfam family "tRNA". Rfam says of the family: Transfer RNA (tRNA) molecules are approximately 80 nucleotides in length. Lineage: Bacteria; Pseudomonadati; Bacteroidota. The record is from RNAcentral. RNAcentral also lists the same sequence under 1 other name.